GCCGGUACAAGACAUUGGUGCCGCCUCGCGUGCUAGCAGAGGAGAGCACCGACCGCCCACUGCGUGCCUUAUCUCAUCGCCAUUCCUCUCCUUCUCUUAUCCAAAUAGCCAUUCCUCCUCAUCCUAACCCAGCUCCGGCGCUCUUCCUCUUCUCCGUCCAACCCAGCCAAAAUAGCGACACGUGCGCGGGGCCGCGGUGGCUGGCCAGGAAGCACUCCCUAAUCGGCGAGGAACCCAGAGGACGCCGUGGCUGGCGCCUUGGAGCUGCUCUGCCGUCGGCCUGAUCUGGCCGUCCGCCCCAGUCGCCGGCCCCGUGCUCCGGAUCAGGCCAGCAGCCUCGCCUCCGACCCGAUUCGAACAGCACAACCUUCGCCACCUCCGCCAUGCCCCAGAGGUUCGGCUGAUCCCGCGUCGCUCAUUCUCCCUUCUUUCUCUGCUCGCGGCUCGCGUUGACUUCGAGAGGCCAUAGGCCUCGUCCAGCCGCAUCCUAUCACUGCCUUGCUCCUCCACCACCACUCCUCCCCUUCUUCCUCCCCUUCCUGCCAGCCAGGGCACUCUCCCUCUCCCACCUCCCUUCGCCGCAGGACUCCAUGAGGAGUGCGCGGAUGCGGGUGUCUUGGCCAGUAGCAACAGUUGCGGCAGUUCCGCGCCGGGAGAAGCCUCGCACUGGGCGAUGUGGAGGACGACGACCUGCUGCUUCCUCAGUCGUGCGUCCUCCUCCGCGUCGUGGAGAGACGGCCAUGGCCGGCCGAUGCCCGAGCGUCGCCGGCCAAGGACCCGCCGGCGUCCAGACCCCCACCACGCCAUUCCCAUCUCGCCUAGACCUGCACAAGUCCCAUCUAGUGCCCGCGCCAUUCUUCGGCCCCCGGCCCGCAGCUCUGCAGCCCGAUCUCUUCAGCCGCCUCACGUCCAAAGCAGAGGAGAGGAGCUCCCUGCGACGAGCCUCUCCAGCGCCCAGCAAACCACCAGGCCGUCCCAGCCUCCUUCUCGCUUCGGCAUGAACGCACGGCCGUCGCGACGGCUCGCCGCAUUCCUGGCCUCGGGCGGCGCGGACGCCCGCUGCGACGCAUCACCCCUUCCUUGGCUCCUGCGGCGUGGACGCCAAUGGCAAGCGGCAGCGCUUGCCCGGCGGUGGAGAACGCAAAUGGAUAAGCGGUGCAGGGGUGUUUUUUGCAAAAGCGAAGCGUUUUCUCGGAUACCCACUUAAAAUAGGACUGCGGGUUGAAUACUCAGAAACGGAGGUUUUUUUUGCAAAAGUGACGACGACGUACGACCAGAAGCACUCCGUGCUUUAUUAGUAGGGAAAGAUAUAUCCAUCCGUUCCCGACGAUUCUCUGUACCAAACGCACCCGCCUCCCGCAGUGAGACUGACACCCUUCUUCAUUGUCUCUGUCUCUGUGCCACAAAUACUUCACCAAAUUUGGUAGAAAACUGAGCUUCUGGCAAGCAUAGGUUGGCGGGCACCUGCUGAAGCUUGCACAAGUACCGUUUUGCCACGGACGUCCGAGGAAGCACCAAAAGCAGGAGAUGGUCUUCCACGCCGUUGUCCCAAAGAUAGCCAUUAAUUGGGUCAUCAAAUUGUUUCUUUUGUAUGUGUAGAUUGUAUCAAGGAUUGGUUGUCUUGA
Long non-coding RNA from Triticum aestivum (bread wheat), 1625 nucleotides. RefSeq lists it as uncharacterized. The transcript is spliced from 2 exons. The record is from RefSeq and is a predicted model, not a curated record. Lineage: Eukaryota; Viridiplantae; Streptophyta; Magnoliopsida; Poales; Poaceae.